UCAGAUGAGAACGUCUUUUGUUUCAGUGCGGAAUCAAAUUACUCAAACACAAAUAGUGCUGCAGAAAACAGAGGAGAUGCUGCUGUGAAUGACUUCUGUUUCUCAAGCUUCUUUAAAAAUCGGACUUCUUCUGAUCAUUUGAAAUAUUACUGUGCUGUACCCAAAUGUGAGGAGAAGAUACAAAAAAAUGAAUCAUCAUCUCACUCUGAAGUUACGGUAAAGUUGUGGAACUCAAACAAGGACGAUGUAAUUAGAAACAUACUCAUCGCUGCUUUGGCUGCAAGUCAAGUAUUGAUAGUGUUCCUGUGCAUUUUGGUCAAGAAACUAAAGACAAACUUAAAAAGCUGUUCUUGUGAUGCAGUUCUUCAACAAAUGCAAACAUCAACCACAGAUCUUCAA
Long non-coding RNA from Oryzias melastigma (Indian medaka), 399 nucleotides. RefSeq lists it as uncharacterized. The transcript has 3 exons. The record is from RefSeq and is a predicted model, not a curated record. NCBI's taxonomy places the organism in Eukaryota, Metazoa, Chordata, Actinopteri, Beloniformes, Adrianichthyidae.